AAAACUCGGUUUUUUGAGCAUUUCGCCGCCCCAGGAGGGCCAUGGGCCCCUGUCCAAUUCAUCAAGUGCCUAAUGAGCGGCCCCACAGGUCCUGGCCCAUCCAUUCCAGAAGCUCUCUCCGCCUUGUAAAGGCUCUCUUGCCUUCGCCAGCCCGUCAGGAUGCUGCCGGCUCCGGGCGAGGGGCUGGUCCGCCCCAGCGUGGUGGCCGAGCUGGGAUCUGAGCGCUCGGGCUCUGGGACAGCCGCCCACCUGGAGCCCAGAAGAGGAAGGAGAACGGGAGGCUGUGCUUGCCGGGCGCGCGGCCCAGGGAAACAGAGGAGCUGUGUCAGACCACUUCUCGGGAUGCCUCUGCGUUGUGUCACCCCCCGGCCCCGACACCAGCUGACGGACCUCAUCCACACGGUCGGCUGGGACGUGGGGACUUCUUGUAACACCUGCUCGUGAUUUUGCCAACUUCCUGGAUGUUCAUUUCUGGUUCUGCACAAAGAGCCACAUUUCCUUUUGGAACCGGGACCGGGAGACAGACAGCAGCAGAUACUGGAAAUUGUGAGUACUCCCCGAUCUUCCCCCAGCGGCUCUCUGACCCUGUCUGUCCGUCCGUCCGUCCGUCCUGCCUGCCUUUCUUUCUCUACCAGCUCGCUGUCUGCAGGGCUUCUCCGGGAAGCCCUCUGGCAGCCCUCGGCACCACUCUGGCUUUGGGGAAAGGAGCCGCUACAGUUUCUGCACGGACAUCGAUGGGGAGGGGAGGGGAGUGUGCUCACCGACUGUGGGACUCCAGUUUUCAUUUUGAGGCCCCGAAAGAUGGCGAAAGUAAACAGAAGGAGGCUGGCUUAUUUCAGGGCGAACAGUGAGUCCCCACUGAAUUGACCUAAUAAAAUGAAUUUUAAAAUUUUCAUUUUCUCAUUUCGUUCCAGCAGAAAAUGAGCUUGCCUUUAUAAUGUCCAGAUCUUUCAAACUCUGAGUGAGAAAUUAAGUUACUAAAUGUAAAUACUUUAGUAUAUGCACACAUGUGUAUGUAUGUAUGAAAUGACUGUAUAUAUAUGAAAUGAAGUAAUCCCUGACGGUAAUGCAAUAGCUAGCCUGACUUUAGGCUCCUAGGACACUUAAAA
Hyaena hyaena (striped hyena) is the source of this 1109-nucleotide long non-coding RNA. RefSeq lists it as uncharacterized. The record is from RefSeq and is a predicted model, not a curated record. The transcript has 4 exons. Lineage: Eukaryota; Metazoa; Chordata; Mammalia; Carnivora; Hyaenidae.